CGAGAAGCCAGAGUGGAGAUUGAAUUUCUGGCUCUGAUGCUGACAUUAUCAGAUGAAAUGCCUGUUAUCAAGGCAAAAAUCCAUGAGGAAACAGGCAUGCCUCCAGGCAAACAGAAGUUGCAGUGAGAGGUAAUCCAAAAUUCGAGUAGUCGUGGGCACAGAAAUUGGAAAGGAGUGAUGGUUUCAUGAAGAAGCACCAUUGGGAUAGCUGUGAUGCGGUGGCACGCUAAAUAGUGUUGAAAUGCAAUGUGCUGAAUUCUCCAUCGAUCGGGCGUUCUCCUCGUCGGUAGUGAAGGCGUCAGCAUUGUAGCUUCUUGGCGGAUGCCAGGGUGACAGUGCUGGUUGUCUUGCCAUCAGGUUUGUGAAAUCUCAGCUGAAGGGACAGGCAAGGUGAAGGAUGCUGCUCUGAAGAUCAUUCCAGGAGAUGGUUUUGAGUGGUACUUCCAAGAACUGUACAGCUGAUGGAUAAGUGUAUAGUUGCCCAAGGACAGUACUUUGAGGGCAGUGUUGUGUAAUCUCAAAUUUGCAUCAUCGGUUGGUGACAAUAAAUCCAUAUCAGAAUUUUC
This is a non-coding RNA of Zootermopsis nevadensis, 566 nucleotides long. NCBI's taxonomy places the organism in Eukaryota, Metazoa, Arthropoda, Insecta, Blattodea, Termopsidae. The record is from RefSeq and is a predicted model, not a curated record.